Molecule: long non-coding RNA, 697 nt
Organism: Amphiprion ocellaris (clown anemonefish)
Lineage: Eukaryota; Metazoa; Chordata; Actinopteri; Pomacentridae
Source: Ensembl
AGUCAGGAAGUGGGACGACCGGCUUGCGAGGCUUCGAACGUCAUCAUUUUUGGCUCCUCCCCUAAAUAAAGCAAGCCUCGAUACGCGCUUCGUGGACACACCCCCUCCAUUACUCGACACACGCUUCGAAACCUCGGCACAUCUAGUAACAUCACUAGCUGAGACUCUGCUCUCGUUUGGAUGAAUCUGAUAUAAUAACUGUUGGUUUAUUUAUCGGUGGAGCUGCAGAACCUUUUGCACAGACAGUUUUCCUGCCCGUUGGCUUGGUUUAACCAGUUUUCUGCCUUCGGCUGAUCCUACCAGCAGACACUGAAAGGACUCUGAUAGUUCGGUGUCUCAUGAUCAGUGUGAGGAUCUUCUGAGUGAAGCCAACAGAAGGAAACGCUCAUCUGGAUGUGAAGAAGGAGACUGAAUGGACAACAUCCUCAGUGAACCACUUCCUGUUUAGCUUUCACUUACAGAAGGACAGACCAGCUUAAUAUUCUCUGUUCUUAGUAUUCACAGGUUCCAUUGAUCACCUUUAACUGAAUGUCUACUGUUGGAGCAGAAAUACAGUCUAAAAAGUCCAUGAUAUUUAUAGCAGAUAUGCAGCAUUAAAACAUCAACAUAUUCAGGUCAAGAGCUUCAUUAUUAUCUUUAUUGCACAUUUAAAAACUACAUUGUUUAACUAUUGUGAACUGUAAAGAUGUGUAAACAC